AAUGGAGGAAACUCUGAUGCAGCAACGCCGCGUGGAGGACGAAGGUUUUCGGAUUGUAAACUCCUGUCUUUUGGGACGAUAAUGACGGUACCAAAAGAGGAAGCCACGGCUAACUACGUGCCAGCAGCCGCGGUAAUACGUAGGUGGCGAGCGUUGUCCGGAAUUACUGGGCGUAAAGGGCGCGUAGGCGGCCUGUUAAGUCAGAUGUGAAACCCCCAGGCUAAACUUGGGGAUUGCAUAUGAAACUGAUGGGCUCGAGUGUGGGGGAGGAAAGCGGAAUUCCUAGGGUAGCGGUGAAAUGCGUAGAUAUUAGGAGGAAACCCGGUGGCGAAGGCGGCUCUCUGGACCGAUACUGACGCUGAGACGCGAAAGCGUGGGUAGCAAA
Molecule: ribosomal RNA, 385 nt
Filed under: uncultured bacterium
Lineage: Bacteria
Description: bacterial SSU rRNA
Rfam family: Bacterial small subunit ribosomal RNA
Source: RNAcentral